Molecule: long non-coding RNA, 234 nt
Organism: Mauremys reevesii (Reeves's turtle)
Lineage: Eukaryota; Metazoa; Chordata; Testudines; Geoemydidae
Exons: 3
Source: RefSeq, a predicted model, not a curated record
UCUGUCUUAUGCAUUGUCCUGAGUAGGAGUACACGGACUUGCUGAUGGAAAUGGAAACGGAGGCCCUAUUUUAGGCUGAAGGAAGUUUGGCUGACCUGGAGUCAUUUUCUAAAGAGAGAUUCCACUACAUCAUGAGCGAUAAAGUCCCUCCUCCACAAGAAGGCAGUUGAACGUUGGCUGAAGGACUGAAGUCACAUUUGGUGUCAGCAAGAUGAUUUCAGCAGUUGAAAAGAG